This is a long non-coding RNA of Drosophila sechellia, 595 nucleotides long. RefSeq lists it as uncharacterized. The transcript is spliced from 2 exons. NCBI's taxonomy places the organism in Eukaryota, Metazoa, Arthropoda, Insecta, Diptera, Drosophilidae. The record is from RefSeq and is a predicted model, not a curated record.
UUGCAUGUUACACUGUGCGACGCCCAAAACUUUGUCCACAUUCGGGGGCAAUGUCAAACGUGUUUAGGCAGCGUUGCAUGCGAGUGGGUGAAAUUUGCUAGUGAAAUUAAACUUUUUCCCAACUUGUUCUGGCCACUUUUCGAGAGUGUCCCUUUUCCAACGGCCUGGGCCAGAGUGUAAUCAGGUGCACGAACCAAAUGCGGGGCCAGAGUCAAUCAAGUGGUCAGAUUGCGUAGCCAACUAUCGACCCGAACCAAGUAACCUCACAUGGGACCAAAGGUCCUUCCGGCAAAUGGCAUUCAAGGAAGAUGGAAUGCGAGGGCCGAGAAAUCCGAGAAUCCGAGAGCCCGAGGCGUCAACUCAGACUCAGAGUCGGAAAACGAGAAUCUCGAAUCGUUUUUGCAUGUGACAAUCAUAUGCAGGAGCUGAGUAAUUCGCCAAUAUAUACAUGGGGCAUCAACGGAUAUUGUAUCUGUGGAGCGAAGCAUGUGCGGCACGAGUGUGUCGUCUAUUUCACAAUUUGCAUUUAAUAUCCUUGUGUGAAUAAUUUACAAAUGCAAUAAACGUAAAUGCGUUUGGAGGAAACGCACUCAGA